RNAcentral lists this long non-coding RNA (388 nucleotides) under Fukomys damarensis (Damara mole-rat). Its description in RNAcentral is "lncRNA (ENSFDAG00000025281.1)". Lineage: Eukaryota; Metazoa; Chordata; Mammalia; Rodentia; Bathyergidae. The record is from RNAcentral.
AGGGCGCGGCGACUCCACGCUAAGCGUGGAAAUGACAAAGGGAACCUUCCUUCCUCAGAGGCAGGAAAGCGAGGCUGGCCCAGGGCCCUUACACCCCUGGAUCUGCGCCUGCCACCCAGCAGCCAACAGCCAUCACGGUGGAAGUAAAGCCACUGCCGACGUCCAAGCCUUUUACAAGUCACCGAUGCACUGUCUUGCUCUUGCUUCCAUGAGUGUUCAUGGAGUGCCUACUGCGUGCGGUGCUGGGCACAGGGCACAAGAUGGAGCAGAGUCAGACCCAGCGCCCAGUGGGGACCCCGAGGCCGUGCACAAGCUCCCGCCUGCUGACCCUGAGCUGUGCAGCAGACCCUGGCAGAGGCUUCCAUCUCCAAGACGACUUCUCCCCUGA